RNAcentral lists this transfer RNA (87 nucleotides) under Nitrososphaerales archaeon. RNAcentral describes it as "tRNA-Cys". It matches the Rfam family "tRNA". Rfam says of the family: Transfer RNA (tRNA) molecules are approximately 80 nucleotides in length. Their secondary structure includes four short double-helical elements and three loops (D, anti-codon, and T loops). Further hydrogen bonds mediate the characteristic L-shaped molecular structure. tRNAs have two regions of fundamental functional importance: the anti-codon, which is responsible for specific mRNA codon recognition, and the 3' end, to which the tRNAs corresponding amino acid is attached (by aminoacyl-tRNA synthetases). tRNAs cope with the degeneracy of the genetic code in two manners: having more than one tRNA (with a specific anti-codon) for a particular amino acid; and 'wobble' base-pairing, i.e. permitting non-standard base-pairing at the 3rd anti-codon position. Lineage: Archaea; Thermoproteati; Nitrososphaerota; Nitrososphaeria; Nitrososphaerales. The record is from RNAcentral.
GCCGGGAUGGCAGAGUGGACUAAUGCGCGGAUCCGCAAAGCCCGUGACCCUUUUUGGGUCUCGUGGGUUCGAAUCCCACUCCCGGCG